RNAcentral lists this ribosomal RNA (263 nucleotides) under uncultured bacterium. Its description in RNAcentral is "partial 16S ribosomal RNA". It matches the Rfam family "Bacterial small subunit ribosomal RNA", at positions 524 to 776 of the family's 1533-position model. The record is from RNAcentral.
UACGGAGGGUGCGAGCGUUGUCCGGAAUCAUUGGCGUAAAGGGCGCGUAGGUGGCCGUGGUCAGCGUGCGGUGAAACGGCUCGGGGACUCAACCCCGAGUCGGCCGUGCGAACUGCUGGGCUUGGAGCACUGUAGAGGCAGGCGGAAUUCCGGGUGUAGCGGUGGAAUGCGUAGAGAGAUCCGGAAGAAGCACCGGUGGCGAAGGCGCCGUGCUGGGCAUGAGCUGACGCUGAUGCGCGACGAGCGAUGGGGAGCCAAACAGG